AGAAUAUAAGAAUUCGUCUCUUAACUUUUAACUAAAAAAUCUAAGAGCUGGUUCUUAAAUAAGAAAUUUAAGAGCCGGCUCUUAACUUUUUUAGUUGAAAGUUAAGAGACGGGUUCUUAUAUUCC
Molecule: microRNA precursor, 125 nt
Organism: Brassica oleracea var. oleracea
Lineage: Eukaryota; Viridiplantae; Streptophyta; Magnoliopsida; Brassicales; Brassicaceae
Rfam family: MIR9563 microRNA precursor family
Source: Rfam